AGGUAGAGCGGUCGAUCUCAGGAGAAGAUCGGUCGAUCCGACGCGUAUGGAUCGGUCGAUCUAAGGUAAGUAUUGCCCGGUUUGAUUUCACUUAAUUUAAACCGGAAAACACCCAUAAAACACCCAACUCGCGAAAAUAUCAAUCAAAACACAUAUCAUUUCAUCUUCCUCUCCUCUCAAACUCUCUCAAACCUCUCAAGAAC
Molecule: long non-coding RNA, 203 nt
Filed under: Brassica napus (rape)
Lineage: Eukaryota; Viridiplantae; Streptophyta; Magnoliopsida; Brassicales; Brassicaceae
Description: long non-coding RNA (BNAP_LNC013334)
Source: RNAcentral